UCGGGAAUAUUGCGCAAUGGAGGAAACUCUGACGCAGUGACGCCGCGUAUAGGAAGAAGGUUUUCGGAUUGUAAACUAUUGUCGUUAGGGAAGAUAUAAGACAGUACCUAAGGAGGAAGCUCCGGCUAACUACGUGCCAGUAGCCGCGGUAAUACGUAGGGAGCAAGCGUUAUCCGGAUUUAUUGGGUGUAAAGGGUGCGUAGACGGGACAACAAGUUAGUUGUGAAAUCCCUCGGCUUAACUGAGGAACUGCAACUAAAACUAUUGUUCUUGAGUGUUGGAGAGGAAAGUGGAAUUCCUAGUGUAGCGGUGAAAUGCGUAGAUAUUAGGAGGAACACCGGUGGCGAAGGCGACUUUCUGGACAAUAACUGACGUUGAGGCACGAAAGUGUGGGGAGCAAACA
Molecule: ribosomal RNA, 403 nt
Filed under: uncultured prokaryote
Description: bacterial SSU rRNA
Rfam family: Bacterial small subunit ribosomal RNA
Source: RNAcentral